Molecule: ribosomal RNA, 219 nt
Filed under: uncultured bacterium
Lineage: Bacteria
Description: partial 16S ribosomal RNA
Rfam family: Bacterial small subunit ribosomal RNA
Source: RNAcentral
AACGUCUCAGUUCGGAUUGUAGUCUGCAACUCGACUACAUGAAGCUGGAAUCGCUAGUAAUCGCGAAUCAGAAUGUCGCGGUGAAUACGUUCCCGGGUCUUGUACACACCGCCCGUCACACCAUGGGAGUUGGGAAUGCCCGAAGCCGGUGACCUAACCGAAAGGGAGGAGCCGUCGAAGGCAGGCUUGAUAACUGGGGUGAAGUCGUAACAAGGUAGC